RNAcentral lists this ribosomal RNA (253 nucleotides) under uncultured bacterium. Its description in RNAcentral is "partial 16S ribosomal RNA". It matches the Rfam family "Bacterial small subunit ribosomal RNA", at positions 524 to 776 of the family's 1533-position model. The record is from RNAcentral.
UACGUAGGUGACAAGCGUUGUCCGGAUUUACUGGGCGUAAAGAGCGCGCAGGCGGUCGUUCAAGUCGAAUGUGAAAGCCCCCGGCUUAACUGGGGAGGGUCAUUCGAUACUGUCAGGCUCGAAGGCAGGAGAGGGAAGCGGAAUUCCCGGUGUAGUGGUGAAAUGCGUAGAUAUCGGGAGGAACACCAGUGGCGAAGGCGGCUUUCUGGCCUGUUCUUGACGCUGAGGCGCGAAAGCCAGGGGAGCGAACGGG